AAUGUUCUAAAAUGAAGUUUUGUGGAGCCCAGAGAAAAUAUUUUCUGUGUGAUGCAGAACAUAAAAAAUGAGUUUCCUGUGUUGAAGCAUGUCUUAUAAGAGUGAAACCUCAUAAUUAUGUUUUUUGAGCAAUACUUAUUUAAAAAAAAUAAUAAAGAGAAAAUUUUAGGAAGCAGAUACACAACUAGGGAGAAGAGAAGAAAAAACUGAAAAGACCAAGCCAAUGCCAAGGCCUUGGGGAGAGGGGGAGGGUGAUAUGCAGACCUUCCCUGGUAACCAAAGAUGGGCAAACCCCAACCGCUAAGCGGUGAGGCCACUAGCUGGCCCUCAGAUUGGAGAGUACAAAAACUGAGUGACUGACAAGACGGUGAGCGUCGUGGCCCCGUGCACAAACCCACAGAGGGGUAGUUGGUACAUAGGGGACGUGGGGAUGAGGGUCCAGUAGAGCUCCCUGCCCCGUCCAGAGGGAGUGGAGUGGGAGGGGAGCGAACGCGUUGGUGACGCGGGGCGCUCACGUGACGUGGAGCUGCAGAGCAACUCAGCCUUCGGUGCAGUCGUCACUCCCGUCUGGGUACCUGCUCCCAGCUGUUCUGCGCCCGGCGGGCUGGCAUCAGUCCCGAGGAAAGCGGAGCAGGACUGCAGGCCUAGGUGUCAAGUGUCGCGGCGGCGCCCACACGGCGAGAAUCGGGAGAAGGAGGAGACAGCAAGGAUAGGCCCAGGA
RNAcentral lists this long non-coding RNA (721 nucleotides) under Canis lupus familiaris (dog). Its description in RNAcentral is "lncRNA (ENSCAFG00000058817.1, ENSCAFG00845022958.1)". The record is from RNAcentral. Lineage: Eukaryota; Metazoa; Chordata; Mammalia; Carnivora; Canidae.